Molecule: ribosomal RNA, 500 nt
Filed under: uncultured Curvibacter sp.
Lineage: Bacteria; Pseudomonadati; Pseudomonadota; Betaproteobacteria; Burkholderiales; Comamonadaceae
Description: bacterial SSU rRNA
Rfam family: Bacterial small subunit ribosomal RNA
Source: RNAcentral
UGAACGCUGGCGGAAUGCUUUACACAUGCAAGUCGAACGGCAGCACGGGGGGCAACCCCUGGUGCGGAGUGGCGGAACGGGUGAGUAAUAUAUCGGAACGUGCCCAGUCGUGGGGGAUAACGUAGCGAAAGUUACGCUAAUACCGCAUACGAUCUACGGAUGAAAGCGGGGGAUCGCAAGACCUCGCGCGAUUGGAGCGGCCGAUAUCAGAUUAGGUAGUUGGUGGGGUAAAGGCUCACCAAGCCAACGAUCUGUAGCUGGUCUGAGAGGACGACCAGCCACACUGGGACUGAGACACGGCCCAGACUCCUACGGGAGGCAGCAGUGGGGAAUUUUGGACAAUGGGCGCAAGCCUGAUCCAGCCAUUCCGCGUGCAGGACGAAGGCCUUCGGUUGUAACUAGCUUUGUACGGUACGAAAAGACCUUGGCUAAUACCCAGGGUCCAUGACGGUACCGUAACGAAUAAGCACCGGCGUAACUACGUGCCAGCAGCCGCGGUA